This is a long non-coding RNA of Cynara cardunculus var. scolymus (artichoke), 475 nucleotides long. RefSeq lists it as uncharacterized. The transcript is spliced from 4 exons. The record is from RefSeq and is a predicted model, not a curated record. NCBI's taxonomy places the organism in Eukaryota, Viridiplantae, Streptophyta, Magnoliopsida, Asterales, Asteraceae.
ACAUUCAAUUAGGAUUGAUCCAAAAUGGAUGUUUAAAGCCCCAACAUUACCUCCAAAAAUCUCAUCAGGCGUACGAAAUGCAAUUUGAGUCCUGAUCAACAUCUGGAAAAGAGAGGCAUCACAACCAUGCCAUCAUUCUAAUUUAAAGUUUUAAGCAAGUGUGGUUAUGAUGGCGUUGUUGCUCAUAUAUUCUGUCUGAGGAGGCUGCCGACUUUGUAUAAAAAGGAUAACUGCAGAUAAAGAGGGAAAUUGUCACAGUUAGCAGUUCACAUGAAAUUAUUGCAUUAUGGCUAACACCUUUGCAGACCCUUUGCAAUUAGACGAGGCUUCGUCAUCUAUGCAAAGUAACAAACGUGGUUUUACUCGGACAGACUAUAAAAAAGUUAGAAAAGAGAUGGCAGGURAUAGAUAGAGUAUCAAGUUUUGCGAGGAGUUUAGGGAGGAUGUUAGAAAAUGGAUUUAUAGAUUGAUUGAA